This 141-nucleotide small nuclear RNA is filed under the name Salarias fasciatus (jewelled blenny). Its description in RNAcentral is "U4 spliceosomal RNA (ENSSFAG00005012680.1)". It matches the Rfam family "U4 spliceosomal RNA". From Rfam's summary of the family: U4 small nuclear RNA (U4 snRNA) is a component of the major U2-dependent spliceosome. The structure of U4 snRNA from yeast and human has been reported. The record is from Rfam by way of RNAcentral. Lineage: Eukaryota; Metazoa; Chordata; Actinopteri; Blenniiformes; Blenniidae.
AUCUUUGCGCAGUGGCAGUAUCGUAGCCUAUGAGGUUUAUCCGAGGCGUGAUUAUUGCUAGUUGAAAACUUUACCCAAUACCCCGCCUUGAUGACUUGAAAUAUAGUCGGAAAUGGCAAUUUUUGACAGUCUCUGAGGAGA